GAUGAACGCUGGCGGCGUGCUUAAUACAUGCAAGUCGAGCGAACAGACGAGGCGCUUGCUCCUCUGUCGUUAGCGGCGGACGGGUGAGUCACACGUGGAUAACCUACCUAUAUGACUGGGAUCACCACGGGAAACCGGCGCUAAUACCGGAUAAUAUACUGAACCGCAUGGUUCAAUAGUGAAUGACGGCUUUGCUGUCACUUAUAGAUGGAUCCGCGCCGCAUUAGCUAGUUGGUACGGUAACGGCUUACCAAGGCGACGAUGCGUAGCCGACCUGAGAGGGGGGUCGGCCACACGGGAACGGAGACGCCGACCAGAGGCCUACGGGAGGGCGCAGUAGGGAAUCUUCCGCAAUAGGCGAAAGCCUGGCGGAACAGGGCCGAGUGAGUGAUGAAGGUCUUCGGAUCGUAAAGCUCUGUUAUUGGGGAAGAACAGAUGUGUAAGGAACUAUGCACGUCUUGACGGUACCUAAUCAGAAAGCCACGGCUAACUACGUG
Molecule: ribosomal RNA, 497 nt
Filed under: uncultured bacterium
Lineage: Bacteria
Description: partial 16S ribosomal RNA
Rfam family: Bacterial small subunit ribosomal RNA
Source: RNAcentral